GCAACCUUUCAUUUGAAAGUCUGCCAACUUAUCCUUGUAGUUUAUUUUAUAUGAUAUUUUCUAUGGAAACGAGAUAAUCCGAGAUUUGACCGUGACAAGCAGCUUAAAAAAUAAAAACAAGUGUAACCAUGUAAUAAAAAGAGCUGUUGGAGCAAUAAAGAAAAUGAUCAAAGUA
This is a long non-coding RNA of Drosophila yakuba, 175 nucleotides long. RefSeq lists it as uncharacterized. Lineage: Eukaryota; Metazoa; Arthropoda; Insecta; Diptera; Drosophilidae. The transcript has 2 exons. The record is from RefSeq and is a predicted model, not a curated record.